This 1292-nucleotide ribosomal RNA is filed under the name Anodonta anatina. RNAcentral's name for it is "16S ribosomal RNA". The stretch from base 541 to 1292 matches the Rfam family "Archaeal large subunit ribosomal RNA", at positions 1424 to 2824 of the family's 2987-position model. Lineage: Eukaryota; Metazoa; Mollusca; Bivalvia; Unionida; Unionidae. The record is from RNAcentral.
AUAUUUAUUUUUAACUAAAUAGUAACUAAUAUAAAGCAGAACGCAACUAAUUGAGUACCUACAAACAAAUUUUUAUCAUUAACAUCCGCAAGGGCAUUAAAAAAAUAUUUUUUAGAAAUGAUUUAAUCAUCUACCUUUUGCAUAAUGUAAUUGCAAGAAAAAACAAGCUAAAUUGUUUCCCGAAAAGUGGAGAGCUACUACAGGCAUAUCAUUUAAUGUAACAUUAUUAAAACACAGCCUAUAAUAGCAGCAAAAUACCUAUCGAGCCACUUGAUAGCUGGUUGCUCCUUAAAUACAUAUAAGUGUCUUCUUACAGUUUUUAAGUAAAUUUAUUACUUGUAAGAAAAACUCUAGGGGGGAUAAGCUCUCUAGAGUUUAUAGAAAAAAAAGUAUAUAAACCAUCAGAAAGGCCUAAAAACAGCCAAACUAUCCGUUACAGGAAAUGACAAUAUAACAUUAAUAUAAAACUUAAAAUUCUAAUACUCAAGGAACCUUGCUGAAUAACUAACCCAUUUAUGAACUGGCAAUUAUUAGUAUCUGAAGCGAAUAAAAAAGCUUUUUUUUUAAAAAAAAAUAGCCCAUUAAUUUUUCCAAUUAAACCUCAUUGGUAAUGAACUCGGCAAAACUCUUCUCUGCCUGUUUAUCAAAAACAUCGUCUUUUGCUUUAUUCAUCUAUAAAAGAUACUGCCUGCCCAAUGAUUUUAAUUAAAUGGCCGCGUUAGCGUGAGCGUGCUAAGGUAGCGUAAUAAACAGCUCCCUAAUUAGGAGCCAGUGAAUGGCCAAACAGAGAAUAGCUCUAUCACCAAUGAUAGGAAAAUUUUUCAUUUAAGUGAAAAAACUUAAAUAAAAGAAAAAGACAAAAAGACCCCGCGGAACUUCCUCAAAGCUUUAUUACAUAAACAAAACUUAUGCUUACAUCUUACUGGUUGGUUGGGGCAACCUUGGAGCAAAACAAACCUCCAUUACUUUUAAAAUACCAUACAAAACUUGAUAUGGACUAUAUUUGCAGUUACCCCGGGGAUAACAGCGUUAUCCAACUUAAGAGUACGAAUCGAAAGUUGGGUUUGCGACCUCGAUGUUGGCUUAGGGAAAGCAAUUUGGCGCAGCCGCUAAAUUACAAUGCCAGUCUGUUCGACUGCUAACCCCCUACACGAGCUGAGUUAAGACCGGCGAGAGCUAGGUUGGAUUCUAUCUUUUCCUCUAAAACAAAUUCUUUAUUGUACGAAAGGACCCAAAGAAACACAUAUAAAGUGUCUUUAUAAAGUUACAAAACUAUAUUAAUCUACACCAAU